Molecule: transfer-messenger RNA, 346 nt
Filed under: Acutalibacteraceae bacterium
Lineage: Bacteria; Bacillati; Bacillota; Clostridia; Eubacteriales; Acutalibacteraceae
Also listed under: 2 other names
Rfam family: transfer-messenger RNA
About the family: Bacterial tmRNA, also known as 10Sa RNA or SsrA, is named for its dual tRNA and mRNA-like properties. Its role is to liberate the mRNA from a stalled ribosome. To accomplish this part of the tmRNA is used as a reading frame that ends in a translation stop signal.
Source: RNAcentral
GGGGGCGUAAAGGUUUCGACAGGGAUCUUGAAGUAUCGGAAGCGAGCAGCGGUGCGGAACCGCUAUAAAAUCCGUAAAAAAAUUAACUAACAACAAUAAAGUUGCUUUAGCAGCCUAAUUUAGGCUGCUCAUCCGACCCGAGAGUACCGCGGCUCGGCAAGGGUGUCAUUUCAGCGGUGAAAGUGAACAGGGAAGUGCUCCUGUCCCUGUCACGGAUUCGGAGCUACCGAACACAUGAGUUUGACAUUUAACGCCUGUGUUAGGGAAUUUAAAGAAAUGUCUGCGCUCGGAGAUGCCGAUACGGAUUGAUUUUUGGACAUGGGUUCGACUCCCAUCGCCUCCACCA